GGGUUGUGAGGUUAAGCGACUAAGCGUACACGGUGGAUGCCCUGGCAGUCAGAGGCGAUGAAGGGCGUGCUAAUCUGCGAUAAGCGCCGGUAAGGUGAUAUGAACCGUUAUAACCGGCGAUACCCGAAUGGGGAAACCCAGUGUGAUUCGUCACACUAUCAUUAACUGAAUCCAUAGGUUAAUGAGGCGAACCGGGGGAACUGAAACAUCUAAGUACCCCGAGGAAAAGAAAUCAACCGAGAUUCCCCCAGUAGCGGCGAGCGAACGGGGAGGAGCCCAGAGCCUGAAUCAGCAUGUGUGUUAGUGGAAGCGUCUGGAAAGGCGCGCGAUACAGGGUGACAGCCCCGUACACAAAAGCGCAUGUGCUGUGAGCUCGAUGAGUAGGGCGGGACACGUGGUAUCCUGUCUGAAUAUGGGGGGACCAUCCUCCAAGGCUAAAUACUCCUGACUGACCGAUAGUGAACCAGUACCGUGAGGGAAAGGCGAAAAGAACCCCGGCGAGGGGAGUGAAAAAGAACCUGAAACCGUGUACGUACAAGCAGUGGGAGCACAGGUUUACCUGUGUGACUGCGUACCUUUUGUAUAAUGGGUCAGCGACUUAUAUUCUGUAGCAAGGUUAACCGAAUAGGGGAGCCGGAGGGAAACCGAGUCUUAAUUGGGCGUUAAGUUGCAGGGUAUAGACCCGAAACCCGGUGAUCUAGCCAUGGGCAGGUUGAAGGUUGGGUAACACUAACUGGAGGACCGAACCGACUAAUGUUGAAAAAUUAGCGGAUGACCUGUGGCUGGGGGUGAAAGGCCAAUCAAACCGGGAGAUAGCUGGUUCUCCCCGAAAGCUAUUUAGGUAGCGCCUCGUGAAUUCAUCUCCGGGGGUAGAGCACUGUUUCGGCUAGGGGGCCAUCCCGGCUUACCAACCCGAUGCAAACUGCGAAUACCGGAGAAUGUUAUCACGGGAGACACACGGCGGGUGCUAACGUCCGUCGUGAAGAGGGAAACAACCCAGACCGCCAGCUAAGGUCCCAAAGUCAUGGUUAAGUGGGAAACGAUGUGGGAAGGCCCAGACAGCCAGGAUGUUGGCUUAGAAGCAGCCAUCAUUUAAAGAAAGCGUAAUAGCUCACUGGUCGAGUCGGCCUGCGCGGAAGAUGUAACGGGGCUAAACCAUGCACCGAAGCUGCGGCAGCGACGCUGAUGCGUUGUUGGGUAGGGGAGCGUUCUGUAAGCCUGCGAAGGUGACCUGUGAGGGUUGCUGGAGGUAUCAGAAGUGCGAAUGCUGACAUAAGUAACGAUAAAGCGGGUGAAAAGCCCGCUCGCCGGAAGACCAAGGGUUCCUGUCCAACGUUAAUCGGGGCAGGGUGAGUCGACCCCUAAGGCGAGGCCGAAAGGCGUAGUCGAUGGGAAACGGGUUAAUAUUCCCGUACUUGGUGUUACUGCGAAGGGGGGACGGAGAAGGCUAUGUUGGCCGGGCGACGGUUGUCCCGGUUUAAGCGUGUAGGUGUGUGUUCCAGGUAAAUCCGGUUCACUUUAACACUGAGGCGUGACGACGAGGCACUACGGUGCUGAAGCAACAAAUGCCCUGCUUCCAGGAAAAGCCUCUAAGCAUCAGGUAACACGAAAUCGUACCCCAAACCGACACAGGUGGUCAGGUAGAGAAUACCAAGGCGCUUGAGAGAACUCGGGUGAAGGAACUAGGCAAAAUGGUGCCGUAACUUCGGGAGAAGGCACGCUGACACGUAGGUGAAGUGAUUUACUCAUGGAGCUGAAGUCAGUCGAAGAUACCAGCUGGCUGCAACUGUUUAUUAAAAACACAGCACUGUGCAAACACGAAAGUGGACGUAUACGGUGUGACGCCUGCCCGGUGCCGGAAGGUUAAUUGAUGGGGUCAGCGCAAGCGAAGCUCCUGAUCGAAGCCCCGGUAAACGGCGGCCGUAACUAUAACGGUCCUAAGGUAGCGAAAUUCCUUGUCGGGUAAGUUCCGACCUGCACGAAUGGCGUAAUGAUGGCCAGGCUGUCUCCACCCGAGACUCAGUGAAAUUGAACUCGCUGUGAAGAUGCAGUGUACCCGCGGCAAGACGGAAAGACCCCGUGAACCUUUACUAUAGCUUGACACUGAACAUUGAGCCUUGAUGUGUAGGAUAGGUGGGAGGCUUUGAAGUGUGGACGCCAGUCUGCAUGGAGCCGACCUUGAAAUACCACCCUUUAAUGUUUGAUGUUCUAACGUGGACCCGUAAUCCGGGUUGCGGACAGUGUCUGGUGGGUAGUUUGACUGGGGCGGUCUCCUCCUAAAGAGUAACGGAGGAGCACGAAGGUUGGCUAAUCCUGGUCGGACAUCAGGAGGUUAGUGCAAUGGCAUAAGCCAGCUUGACUGCGAGCGUGACGGCGCGAGCAGGUGCGAAAGCAGGUCAUAGUGAUCCGGUGGUUCUGAAUGGAAGGGCCAUCGCUCAACGGAUAAAAGGUACUCCGGGGAUAACAGGCUGAUACCGCCCAAGAGUUCAUAUCGACGGCGGUGUUUGGCACCUCGAUGUCGGCUCAUCACAUCCUGGGGCUGAAGUAGGUCCCAAGGGUAUGGCUGUUCGCCAUUUAAAGUGGUACGCGAGCUGGGUUUAGAACGUCGUGAGACAGUUCGGUCCCUAUCUGCCGUGGGCGCUGGAGAACUGAGGGGGGCUGCUCCUAGUACGAGAGGACCGGAGUGGACGCAUCACUGGUGUUCGGGUUGUCAUGCCAAUGGCACUGCCCGGUAGCUAAAUGCGGAAGAGAUAAGUGCUGAAAGCAUCUAAGCACGAAACUUGCCCCGAGAUGAGUUCUCCCUGAGACUUAGAGUCUCCUGAAGGAACGUUGAAGACGACGACGUUGAUAGGCCGGGUGUGUAAGCGCAGCGAUGCGUUGAGCUAACCGGUACUAAUGAACCGUGAGGCUUAACCUUACAACGCCGAAG
Molecule: ribosomal RNA, 2929 nt
Filed under: Salmonella enterica subsp. enterica serovar Typhimurium
Lineage: Bacteria; Pseudomonadati; Pseudomonadota; Gammaproteobacteria; Enterobacterales; Enterobacteriaceae
Also listed under: 1 other name
Description: 23S ribosomal RNA
Rfam family: Bacterial large subunit ribosomal RNA
Source: RNAcentral